GACGAACGCUGGCGGCGUGCCUAAUACAUGCAAGUAGGACGCACAGUUUAUACCGUAGCUUGCUACACCAUAGACUGUGAGUUGCGAACGGGUGAGUAACGCGUAGGUAACCUGCCUAUUAGAGGGGGAUAACUAUUGGAAACGAUAGCUAAUACCGCAUAACAGUAUGUAACACAUGUUAGAUGCUUGAAAGAUGCAAUUGCAUCGCUAGUAGAUGGACCUGCGUUGUAUUAGCUAGUAGGUAGGGUAAAGGCCUACCUAGGCAACGAUACAUAGCCGACCUGAGAGGGUGAUCGGCCACACUGGGACUGAGACACGGCCCAGACUCCUACGGGAGGCAGCAGUAGGGAAUCUUCGGCAAUGGGGGGAACCCUGACCGAGCAACGCCGCGUGAGUGAAGAAGGUUUUCGGAUCGUAAAGCUCUGUUGUUAAGGAAGAACGAGUGUGAGAAUGGAAAGUUCAUACUGUGACGGUACUAA
This 479-nucleotide ribosomal RNA is filed under the name Streptococcus anginosus. RNAcentral's name for it is "bacterial SSU rRNA". It matches the Rfam family "Bacterial small subunit ribosomal RNA", at positions 28 to 481 of the family's 1533-position model. Lineage: Bacteria; Bacillati; Bacillota; Bacilli; Lactobacillales; Streptococcaceae. The record is from RNAcentral.